This 245-nucleotide small RNA is filed under the name Pongo abelii (Sumatran orangutan). Its description in RNAcentral is "processed transcript". Lineage: Eukaryota; Metazoa; Chordata; Mammalia; Primates; Hominidae. The record is from RNAcentral.
UUUUUCCUCCCUUCCUCCCCUCUGCCUCCCUCCACCUCCCCCUUUUCUUUUUUGCUGAAUCUUAUUGAUCCAGAAGGUGGCUAAUUAGCCCUUCCCGUCGUGCCUGGCUCCCACUUCCAGCGCGUCCCCUCCGACCGCUGCAGCCGCCACCGCCGCCGCCUCCUCCUCCUCCUCCUCCCGGCCGCAGCCGCCGCCGCCGCCGCCGCCUGCUUUGCAUCCCAAUUACAGCCUAGAGCCGCUGCCGC